Molecule: transfer RNA, 84 nt
Filed under: Haliotis rufescens (red abalone)
Lineage: Eukaryota; Metazoa; Mollusca; Gastropoda; Lepetellida; Haliotidae
Description: tRNA-Sec
Rfam family: Selenocysteine transfer RNA
Source: RNAcentral
UAACGAACGACCCUCAGUGGAUUGGGGUGCGGGCUUCAAACCUGUAGCUGACUGACGUCGGAGUGGUUCAAUUCCACCUUUCGG